RNAcentral lists this unclassified non-coding RNA (101 nucleotides) under fungal sp. Its description in RNAcentral is "partial internal transcribed spacer region". The stretch from base 1 to 46 matches the Rfam family "Eukaryotic small subunit ribosomal RNA", at positions 1786 to 1831 of the family's 1831-position model. Lineage: Eukaryota; Fungi. The record is from RNAcentral.
AAGUCGUAACAAGGUUUCCGUAGGUGAACCUGCGGAAGGAUCAUUAACACGUAUCGGGUAAAAAAACCGAACAACUGUUAACAAUGGAUAUCUUGGUUCUC